ACUCUCGUGAGCUGUCGCAUCGCUGACCAGCCUGCCAUGCUCUCUGAGUGUCAACUGGGACCUGACCCAGCACCGGACUCAUUCCAUUUGGAAGAUGGGUGUAAUACCAGGCCUCAGUCCCCCAUCUCUACUCCAGCCAUGUUCAGCUGUGAGUUUACCAUCAUAACUUCCUGAAUCUCAAGGGACAGCAAUCAGAUCCUUGCCAGAUGGCUAGGCAAUGGGAUGCAAUUUUUACAUGAAAUCACUGUAGACACUGUGACCAAUGGAACUACCAUUUUCAUGGAGACCAGCUGAGCCCUGCUAACUGAAAAUUCAGAGCAUCUCCAGCCAUUGUAUCCAGUUGAUGAAGUUGAUGCUCUCCAACCAUACCACAUUAUUUUGAAUCCAAAUUCAUAGUUUACUUUCCAGUGUCAUCCUGAGGAUUGGAGGAAGGCACAGGAAAUAUCAGCGAUUAUCCUCCAUUAUCAGAUUAUUAUAUUUUUUUGUGUUAACAUUUCUAGCGGUAAAAUAGCUUGGAGAGGUUUAAACCAUCUCUUAACCCACAUUCUUUUGUAAUUCUUUUUCAAUUUAAAAUCGAUGAUAUCAAUGGACUUCAAUAUUCUACUAUUUAAUCCCUUGUAUAGAUCUGCAAUCUUUCAGCUGUUUAUUUCACCCUGAGUUUCCAGUUUGGGCAAAUAAAGAGUUGCCACCAUGCACAGGUGACUCACCAUGCACAUGGGACUUCCACUAUGAUAGAAGGUCAUGGUGUGCCUGAUGGAUUAGGCAAAGCUCCCCCACAUUCACCUCCAGGACUUUCCUCUUUCCCUUGGGCACGUGCUUGCCAUCUGCUGGGCUAUGUGUUCCAUGAGGUUAGAGGCUGUGGCUGCCAUGUCCACCACUCUGUUUCUAGCACUGAAUCAGGGCCUGGCACCCAGAAACUACAGAAUAAAUAUUUAUUGAGUGAAUGCCUAGAGACUAAUCAUCAGCGACGUAAUCAUGUUAUUUGUCCUUUUCUACAACAAAUGUUUCUCAAAGGUCAGAAAUGAGAAGAUGAAACCAGGACCAACGUGGAUUAAAUAGAGGUAUGACAUAAUUUCCUAUUGUCUCCGUCCAUCUGCAGUCAAGGUUAUAUUCACAUCUCAGAUCUUCAUCAGAAUGGCUUUCCCUCUUCUCUUAAAAGAAAACAGAAGAGUUCUGUGCAGUUAAGAGGUUGAAUGAAAAAAGGGAGGGAGGGUUCAGAAGGAAAAGUCCAAACAUCCUCUUCCCCAUGGAAAUAAUGAUAAUAGGAAUAAUGAGAAGGCUAAAUUAUUUGCUUACUAUGUGGCACUGCACUUUAUUAUUUAAUUAAUCCUCAUGGCAAGCCUAUGAGGUAGAUAAUAUCAUGCCCAGUUGUGGGGGAAAAAAAGGGGGGAAUUUAGAAGAAUGUAAAUAACUUGCCCAAGCUGGUAGGUAGAGAAGCCGGAAUUCCACCCCAGGUCUGUCUGAGUCCAGAGUUUAACCACCAACCCUUAGCUGGUUUGAAUAUUUAAGGGCAGGGUCCAAGUCUCAUUCAUCUUUGUUUAACUCAUAGCACCUGGCCUAAGGUCACACCUGCCACGUGGAAACAGCAAAUAUUAGUUGAUUCAAAAGUAGAGCUAGUCAAAGGCCCUGGGAUAGGGUUACUUUACUGGAAAACAGGGCAUGCAUGAAAGGAAAUGUAAAAGCCAACCAAGAAAAAGCAGAGUGGCAUAAGUGGUCUUAUAUCACACCAAAGACAGAGGUUAACCUUAAAUGUGUUUGGAAUUCAUAGCAUGAAGUUAAAAAAGUAUUUUGAAGCGGCUACACUGUAAGAAUGAUAAAUCAUGGGAAACAGCUGGAAGGAUCCUGAAGUUCUUUCUUCUGACUUGUUCUUUUUCCAAGGACUGUAGAUUCCUUAGCUUAGGCCAGCUGGGGUGAGUUCUUGUUGGUGUGUGAGUAUAUGGUUUUCACAUGUAAAGCAAAUUUAAGACUCGGUUAUGAUAGAUUUGUGCUGUGUUUGUGCCCCAAUCUUCAGGCCACAUUUCUACUGUGCUGUCUUAGCCAGCUUCUCGUGGGCAGGGCUGUCAAGUCAACUCCCAGACUUGGUGGGUUGUCCGCUCUAUCAGCCUCCUUCAGAAUGUUCGUGGUGGCA
RNAcentral lists this long non-coding RNA (2128 nucleotides) under Homo sapiens (human). Its description in RNAcentral is "HSALNT0337275". Lineage: Eukaryota; Metazoa; Chordata; Mammalia; Primates; Hominidae. The record is from RNAcentral.